Molecule: long non-coding RNA, 2434 nt
Organism: Mizuhopecten yessoensis (Yesso scallop)
Lineage: Eukaryota; Metazoa; Mollusca; Bivalvia; Pectinida; Pectinidae
Exons: 2
Source: RefSeq, a predicted model, not a curated record
GAUCUUUUUUUCAUUAUGUAGUGUGUAAAACGUUCAUUGUGGGCAUUACCUUGUCUUUUUAUAGUUGUGUAGAGACCCAUCAUAGAGCAAGCCUCUGAAAAUCUUCCCACAUUGUGCCAGAUGAGAAUCACAAACCCCCCAAUUCCUUAUUUGUAAUGAAAUGAGCGUCAUUUGUACACAAGAUUAAUAAUUAUAAGUCAUAAUCGUUUUAAGGCUUGCCUGUAUAUCAAUUUCUUAUCUUUUUCUAACAUUUUUGGGAUUUGGGUGACUUAACGAGGAAAAACGACAUGCAGACUAAUUUUCCGGAUUUUUUUAAAGACGCUGGCUGUGGGUUUUUUAAUUACUUUCACUAUAAAAUCGGCAAUGCAUUCCACCUGUAGUGGCAAUUGGGGGAAAUUUCUGAUAACGGGUACAACGCUGUCGGUAUCUGAAAUUAGUGGUAAAAGUUACAAAUUGAUUCUUUUCUUCUUCUGACCAUGAAAAAUUUCUCAUGGGAAGGCUCUUUAUAUAGGUAAGCUCUAAAAAAGUACCACUAGCGAUGAAAAAAAAGACGUGCAGAUUAAUUUUCCUCUUUUUUUUUUUAAAGACGGCGGCUGGCGCAUUCACGAUUUUCUUUUUAAUAAUUUAAUGAUAAAAUCGGCAAUGCGGUGCCCUAAAAUGAAAUGCGCACGGGCCUGAGAAUCAAGUAAUCAAAUUUUUCUGGCCUGAUGGUUUCUUACAAUGUUUCAUCAAAAAAUGAGUGUUUAUAAGUACAUUUCACCUGUAAUGGCAAUUCCGGGGAAAUUUCUGAUAACGGGUACAACGCUGUUGGUAUCCGGAAUUCGUGGUAAAAGUUACAAUUUGAUUCAUUUCUUCUUCUGACCAUUAAAAUAAGCGCACGGGCCUGAAAACCAAGUAUUUUUUUUUGGCCUGAUGGUUUCUGACAAUGAAACAUUAAAAAAUGAGUUUUUAUAAGUACAUUUCACCUCUAGUGGCAAUUCGGGGGAAAUUUCUGAUAACAGGUACAAAGCUGUCGGUAUCUGAAAUUUGUGGUUAAAGUUACAAAUUGUUCCUUUUCUUCUUCUGACCUUGAGAAUUUCUCAUGGGAAGGCUCUUUAUAACAUCAAAAAAAGUUUAAAAAAAAUUAGACCACUGAUUUUCAGGUAUGUUUGCCCUGUAUAUUAAUGAUUUAAAUAUAUUCAAUAUGAAGUGAAUACAAUCAUGCACGGUAAAAAGAAAAAUAAAUAAAUACGUGAAUAAACGAAGAAAAAUUUAAGUUACAUAGAUUGCUUUGAAUAAGUUAGAUUUUCCAUUACCUUAAAAGUGAACUUGAUAAAUAACUAAGUGACUUGCGUAAGUAACGUUACAAAAGGCAGAUGGAUUCUGAUUGGGUGAUGGUUUUUGACAAUGUUUCAUUAAAGAAUGAGUGUUGAUCAGAAAAUUUGACUUGUUGUGGCAAUUCAGGACAAUAAAAAAAACCCAGCAAUACUGCUAGUAUCCAACAUUUUCAAAAAUUACAAAUUUUUCUUUUUCUUUCUCUGUCUAUGAAAAUGGUUCUUUAUAAGCUCCAAUUAUUUUUUUUGAUAUUUUCUUCAUAAACAUUGCAAGCGUUGAAGCUCGGUUCAUAAAAUAUUAUGAUAUUAUCUUUGGUGAAAGUGUUUCCAAACAAUGCCUUUUCAAUCCAUGCUUCAUUACAAACGGUAAUUAUGAUAAAAUUGGUCUCUGUUUGUUCAUCACAAGAGUGUAUGAAUUACAGAUCUGAUCCUUAUAAUCCGCUCCUUCACAUCUCCAAUUGAUGCUCAAUUUUCUCUCCAAAAUAUGGUCAAGAAAACGAAAAAAGUCUUAAAUGCUAUGAAGUUGUAGAGAUUGUCCACCUUGUUUUCAUUUCUUUGACACUGAAAGUGUCCAAUGGGCAGUUGUUGUUAGGAGCUUUUCUUAAGUGACAUUUGUCGCUUUUAAAAGUGACUUCCAAAAAAGCAAGUAUCAUCUUUACGUUGGAUAUAUUUUGUAAGGUUUCUUGACACAUUACGCUCCCUCCCUUUACCACACAAAACGGUCUGACCGUGUCGGGUGAUGGUGAUGAAUUUUAAGUAUAGCAAAAAAAAAGAGUACUUUAACACCCUCCGACAGGAGGAAUAAAGCGCAUUCUUCCAUCUUUCUGAUAUUUGACUGUGUGACCUUUUUUCACCCUCCGACAGGAGGAAUAAAGUACAUUCUUCAUCAUUCUUGCUCUCAGUUAUCAGAUAUAAAGCGCAUUCUUUUGAAAUAGGCACAUGCUCUAUUCAACAACGCAAGCUUUAUCACAUAAACGAUUGUUGAUAAAAGUUUCGUAACACAUUCACACUUCCUCCAUCUACCACACAAAACUGUGACUGUUGGGUUGAUCAUUGCGUCUUACAAGCUUAAAGAAAACAUACUAAACAUGUGGUUCUUUUAAAUUUAAAAAAAAAAAAAA